This 255-nucleotide ribosomal RNA is filed under the name uncultured bacterium. RNAcentral's name for it is "partial 16S ribosomal RNA". It matches the Rfam family "Bacterial small subunit ribosomal RNA", at positions 524 to 776 of the family's 1533-position model. The record is from RNAcentral.
UACGAAGGGGGCUAGCGUUGCUCGGAAUCACUGGGCGUAAAGGGCGCGUAGGCGGCGUUUUUAAGGUCGGGGGUGAAAGCCUGUGGCUCAACCACAGAAUGGCCUUCGAUACUGGGACGCUUGAGUAUGGUAGAGGUUGGUGGAGCUGCGAGUGUAGAGGUGAAAUUCGUAGAUAUUCGCAAGAACACCGGUGGCGAAGGCGACACGCUGGGCCGUACCUGACACUGAUGCGCGACAGCAUGGGGAGCAAACAGG